GACAAAGUGGCUUGAAAGGACCUCAACUACUCAUAGUAAAAUCAUGGUUUAAUCAAUCAACCAGAAACUAUACACUUCUUGGAUUCCCGUUUAACAACCAUAUGUAUUUGGAGAAAUUAGGACAAGCGACUCCCUGGAGGGCUCUGAAAUCAUGUCAGUCAGCGUCCACGAAAACCGUAAGUCCCGGACCAGCACGGGCUCCAUGAACAUCUCUCUGUUCCAUAAGCCCUCGCAUCCAGACAGCGUGCUCACCCACCUCAACACCCUCCGCAAGCAGUGCAUGUUCACUGACGUGACGCUGUGGGCGGGGGACCGCUCCUUCCCCUGCCAUCGGGCGGUACUGGCCGCAUGCAGCCGCUACUUUGAGGCGAUGUUCAGCGGCGGGCUCCGUGAGAGCCUGGACAACGAGGUGAACUUCAGAGACAGUGUGCAUCCAGAGGUGUUGGAGCUGCUGCUGGACUUUGCCUACUCGUCACGUGUCAUCAUCAACGAGGAGAACGCAGAGUCGUUGCUGGAGGCGGGAGACAUGCUGCAGUUCCACGACAUCAGAGACGCUGCUGCGGCGUUCCUGGAGAAGAACCUGCACUUGUCCAACUGCCUGGGUAUGAUGCUACUGUCUGAUGCCCACCAGUGCAAACAGCUGUAUGAGCUCUCCUGGAGGAUGUGCCUGGUGCACUUUGAGGCGUUGCGGGACACAGAGGACUUCUACGGCCUCAACAAAGACAAGCUGCUGGACCUGAUUCUCAGCGACGAGCUGGAGAUCGAGGACGAGCAUAUCGUGUUCAACUCUGUGAUGCGCUGGGUACGCUACGACCUGGACGGCCGCAGAGACUACCUCCCUGAGCUGCUGGGUGGAAUCCGCCUGGCCCUGCUGCCCUCUGAGUGUCUGAUCGAGGCGGUGGCCUGCGAGGAGCUGGUGAUGUCAGACAAGAGGAGCCGGCAGAUAGUGGAGGAGGCCAUGCAGUGCAAGAAGAAGAUCCUGCAAAACGAUGGGGUGGUCACCAGCCCCUGUGCCCGGCCCCGCAAGGCAGGCCACACACUGCUCAUCUUGGGAGGACAGACCUUCAUGUGUGAUAAGAUCUACCAGGUGGACCACAAAGCCAAGGAGAUCAUUCCUAAGUCGGACUUGCCCAGUCCCAGGAAGGAGUUCAGCGCCUGUGCAAUUGGCUGUAAGGUCUACGUGACUGGGGGGAGGGGUUCUGAGAACGGGGUGUCCAAGGAUGUUUGGAUCUAUGACACGGUCCACGAGGAGUGGUCUAAAGGAGCUCCCAUGUUGAUAGCACGGUUUGGCCAUGGUUCGGCUGAACUGGAGAACUGGCUGUAUGUGGUGGGUGGCCACACUGCCAUAGCAGGCAUCUUCCCUGCCUCCCCCUCAGUCUCCCUCAAACAGGUAGAGCGGUAUGACCCACUCACCAACAAAUGGACCAUGAUGGCGCCGCUCAGAGAUGGUGUUAGCAAUGCAGCUGUGGUCAGCGCCAAGCUAAAGCUGUUUGUAUUUGGUGGCACCACCAUACACAGAGACAAGGCCUCCAAGGUGCAGUGCUACAACCCUCUAGAGAACCGCUGGGCCAUCGCAGCAGAAUGUCCACAACCGUGGAGAUAUACAGCCGCUGCUGUUCUGGGCAGCCAGAUCUUCAUAAUGGGCGGAGACACGGAGUUCACCGCCGCCUCCGCCUACCGCUUUGACUGUGAGACCAACCAGUGGUCUCGUGUUGGGGACAUGACUUCUAAAAGAAUGAGCUGCCAUGCGGUGGCCUCUGGGAACAAACUGUACGUGGUGGGGGGCUACUUUGGGACGCAGCGCUGCAAGACUCUAGACUGUUAUGACCCCACGUCUGAUAGCUGGAACAGUAUAACCACAGUGCCUUACUCACUAAUUCCCACUGCGUUCGUAAGCACCUGGAAACAUCUACCUGCCUAGCAGCCUUGACAUGAACAAGGAGUGGUCUCCAGAACUGGGGACUAAAGAGGGCACCUGAUUGGCAUUUCACGCAUUUGGCUUAGCAGGAGGAAACAGUCAUGCUUGACUCGUUUGGAGAUGUCACAUGUUUCCGGCCAUAGUGACUAGCUGGGGCUUGACUGCCUGUAGACCAACGAGAUGUGUCAAGCGAAGGGUUGGUUCCGCCAGGGUCGCCCAGCUAUAGCUGUUACGCCAAACACCCCCUCGGAGGUAAAGACUGUUCCAGAUUAUCUGAGGGGUGUGUGGUCCAACGCCAGAACACAAGGUCCUCCAAGAGGGAUGCCAUUCGCUGGCUCUUCUCCCUCACAGCACAAGGAGACAUCCAUACCAUGCUUCCUAACAGUCUUAUUCAUGACCAUGGUGAGAAACAGACCCUUUAUAGACAGACAACCGAUGUGGGUAUUAUUGCUCAGUAUUUCUAACUGAGGCCAUUUUUAAAUGUCUUAUUAUUUGAGGGAUCCCGAAUUAGAUCAUUCCAGCUUUGAACCCAGGCGAUGUAGUCUUAAGGGGUGAUUGGUUUUUGUAAAUGACAAUUAAUAAACUACAGUAAGCAGGAACACUAUCCCUUCCAUCAUAAAAUGUGGUGCUGUUUGUUGGCUCUUUGCUGUAGGCUGUCAGCACACACGAUUAAUGAGCCUCAGCAGACACUCAGAUCCAACAAGCAGCCCUACACUACAUUGCAAGUCAACUCUUUAAAACAAUGAGAUACUGUAUAUCAAAGAAACACAACACGUAUCAUCUAACUUUCAGGGGAAAUACAUGUUAAAGUAUAAGCAGUUGUACUGUAUUUACUUCGUAUCUAUGAAACAAUUCAGCCUGGGAAUCCUGUCAACACCACAGCACAAUUUGCUAUUGUAGACCUCUUAUCAUUGAAGCAUUUCUUGAAGGUAUGAAACAAUACCCAUUACUCACUGGUCAAAAACUGGUUUAAUCAAGAUUGUUUCCAUGUCAUUUCACCCCCAAAAUUAAAUGUGAUUACAUUGAAAACAUGGAAAACUGAUUGGAUUAGCAAAAAGUAAUCAACGUAAGGGAAUUUUCUUUUUUUCACCCACCUUUUAACCUAAAUCCAAUGGACAUGGUGACAUUUCUUGUUGAUUUCAUGUUGAAUUCACAUUUGUUGACAACUCAACCAAAUGUAAAAUCAAAACUAGAUGUUGAAAUUGCAUCUGUACCCAGUGGGUACAUUGUGGUUGAUGUGUGUUUUAGUUAUACAACAUUUGCACUUGGCACUAUACAUUUGAUAAUAUGUCAAUGAGGGUACUAAGCUUUGAUACUGGGAUUUUUGGGGGGGUGAAUUUGGUUUAUUUCUGCAGUUUAUUUGUGGAAUGAUAGCCGCCCAGAAGCAACAACCUUUUUCUUCAGAAGCCCCGUAGGAGGAGUUUUUUUUAUUUUUAUUUAUGAUAAAGACUCACUUUUAAACUACAGUUACUUUUCCAUGUGGGGGGUGCCUUCAAGGACUGUAAUAAGGUCUCCUUGUGAACUGAAUUCCUUGUGCCUAAUACUGGUAGAAAGGUUUGUCAUAAAUUCACUCUGUUAAAGUGUUUGAAUAAAUGACUUUUUAAUUCA
Salvelinus namaycush (lake trout) is the source of this 3526-nucleotide RNA transcript. It is a transcript of the gene named kelch-like protein 25, with no coding region annotated. The transcript has 4 exons. The record is from RefSeq and is a predicted model, not a curated record. Lineage: Eukaryota; Metazoa; Chordata; Actinopteri; Salmoniformes; Salmonidae.